AARCCUGAUGCAGCGACGCCGCGUGAGGGAUGACGGCCUUCGGGUUGUAAACCUCUUUCAGCWGGKAAGAAGCUUUUGUGACGGUACCUGCAGAAGAAGCACCGGCUAACUACGUGCCAGCAGCCGCGGUAAUACGUAGGGUGCGAGCGUUGUCCGGAAUUAUUGGGCGUAAAGAGCUUGUAGGCGGUUUGUCGCGUCUGCUGUGAAAAUUCAGGGCUUAACCCUGGACGUGCAGUGGGUACGGGCAGACUAGAGUAUGGUAGGGGAGACUGGAAUUCCUGGUGUAGCGGUGGAAUGCGCAGAUAUCAGGAGGAACACCGAUGGCGAAGGCAGGUCUCUGGGCCAUUACUGACGCUGAGAAGCGAAAGCAUGGGGAGCGAACAGGAUUAGAUACCCUGGUAGUCCAUGCCGUAAACGUUGGGCGCUAGGCGUGGGUCUCAUUCCACGAGAUCCGUGUCGCAGCUAACGCAUUAAGCGCCCCGCCUGGGGAGUACGGCCGCAAGGCUAAAACUCAAAGGAAUUGACGGGGGCCCGCACAAGCGGCGGAGCAUGCUGAUUAAUUCGAUGCAACGCGAAGAACCUUACCAAGGCUUGACAUGCACCGGAUCGCCUCAGAGAUGGGGUUUCCCUUUGGGCUGGUGCACAGGUGGUGCAUGGUUGUCGUCAGCUCGUGUCGUGAGAUGUUGGGUUAAGUCCCGCAACGAGCGCAACCCUCGUUCUAUGUUGCCAGCACGUAAUGG
This 740-nucleotide ribosomal RNA is filed under the name Kytococcus sedentarius. RNAcentral describes it as "bacterial SSU rRNA". It matches the Rfam family "Bacterial small subunit ribosomal RNA", at positions 379 to 1131 of the family's 1533-position model. Lineage: Bacteria; Bacillati; Actinomycetota; Actinomycetes; Micrococcales; Kytococcaceae. The record is from RNAcentral.